GAUGAACGCUGGCGGCGUGCCUAAUACAUGCAAGUCGAGCGAACAGAUAAGGAGCUUGCUCCCUUGACGUUAGCGGCGGACGGGUGAGUAACACGUGGGUAACCUACCUAUAAGACUGGAAUAACUCCGGGAAACCGGGGCUAAUGCCGGAUAACAUUUAGAACCGCAUGGUUCUAAAGUGAAAGAUGGUUUUGCUAUCACUUAUAGAUGGACCCGCGCCGUAUUAGCUAGUUGGUAAGGUAACGGCUUACCAAGGCAACGAUACGUAGCCGACCUGAGAGGGUGACCGGCCGCACUGGAACUGAGACACGGUCCAGACUCCUACGGGAGGCAGCAGUAGGGAAUCUUCCGCAAUGGGCGAAAGCCUGACGGAGCAACGCCGCGUGAGUGAUGAAGGUCUUCGGAUCGUAAAACUCUGUUAUUAGGGAAGAACAAAUGUGUAAGUAACUGUGCACGUCUUGACGGUACCUAAUCAGAAAGCCACGGCUAACUACGUG
This 497-nucleotide ribosomal RNA is filed under the name uncultured bacterium. RNAcentral describes it as "partial 16S ribosomal RNA". It matches the Rfam family "Bacterial small subunit ribosomal RNA", at positions 28 to 507 of the family's 1533-position model. The record is from RNAcentral.